AAAUGACAUAAGUCGACUAUUACUACUAUUAAAUUUUAUAUUUAAUAGUAGUAAUAGUCGUAUUAAUAUUAACAGAUUGUAUUCAUUAAGUUUAACUCUGAUUUACAAUUUUUAUGGAAAGUUUAUUUAAAUUAAUAUAUUUAUUGCAAAACCUUUCAAACAUUUUUUUUUUUAUUUUUUUUUUUACAAAAUUAUAAAUAUUUACAGAUUUUUAUAAUACAUAUUGCAUACUUAUAUAUAAGCAGGGCCGUACCAAACGACGAAGACUUCAGGGGGAGGGGGAGGAUAUGUCGUUAAACAAUCUAAAUCACGCAUAAAAUCACAUAAAAAAAAACAUAGUUUAGUAAUGAUAACAAAUUCCCAGUGAGAAUGGUAAUAAUGGUCCGUUAGCGGCGCGCCGACGCUGGCUAAAUAUUGAUGGUCCGAAACGGGCCUUGCAAGGCGCGCCAACGUCGGCAUAACUAAAAUGGACCGAAUGCAGCUUUGAACUGGCAUGACAACGGCGGCGUGCCUACAUCAAACCUACAGCGAACCAUUAGCGGCUGCCCGACGUUGGAACACCGAUAGCGAACCAGCAUCGGACCGUAAAAGUACCAUGCGUUUUAAAAAGAUUUAUUUCCAAAUAAAUCAUAGAAAAAUUUUACGAAUAUGUUUAAUUUUUGGUUAUUAUUAAGAUCAUAAUAUAACAGUUUACAUAUAUAAUAAAUUCAUUUUUUUAAAUGGUGGUCACUAGUUUAUCAUUAAGAUCCUAAUAUAAUUAUGUUAUUAUUAAGAUCCGAAUACACUAAGGCAUAUUCGUUUAUACGCAACAAUUUUUUUCUCUUUGUCUUAAUUUUUUUCUAUAAAUUGUCAACUGAUAUGCAUGCAAGUUUUUAUCAAAAUAACUGUUGUGUUGUGGGCUAAUAAAAACCACAAAAAAAAAAGUGUUCUAUGUGUCUUUGUUAACAUGAGAGUAUGUUUGACAUACAAAAGCACAUUUUUUAAUUGAAAUAUAUCUAUCGACGCAAUCAGGUUAAUAACUGUAAUUAUUGAUUUUUAAUCACUUUUACACAAUUAAAUUGAUAAAUUUUAGUGUAAUUUGAUCUUUUGCACUGCCAGUAUGAUUUUUAUUGCAUUUUACAAAAUGUCGAAAGGAAAGUAUUUGAAAGAUGCUAAAAAAAUACAAAUUAAUUUAUAUCGUGGCUCAGAAAUCUCACCAGCAAUUUUUAUACAAGAAAUAGCAAGAAAAAUUGGAAGAUCUGACCAUGUUGUACGAAACUACAUUGCAAAAGGUGACAAUUACGGUGUAAAAAAAGCAACAAAUGGCAACAAAGUAUUAACAAAUCGAUAAAUUAAUCGAAUUCGCUUCGAAGCAACCAAAAAUGAAUUGAACGCAACACAAAUAAAGGAUAAACUAAUAUUGCCUGUCACCAAUAAACAUGUUGCACAUAUUCUACGUACAACACCAAUGCAUUGAACUCAUGAGUGGCAAAACGUAAUACUUUCAGAUGAAAAAAAGUUUCACACAUACACACACACACACACAUUUUAAUUUUUGAAUUUUCAAGUUUUUCCAUAUUUUAGGAGCCUGUGACAUAAUUGAAAAUUCAGAACCCCGGGUUUUAGUUUUUUUAAUAUAAUGUUUAUGGAACCUAUUUGAUCGUAGAUUAUAACUUUGAAAAAAUGAUGACGAGAAUAUGUGUAAAAAAGAAUUUGGUAUCAUAUUAUUUUUAUAUUUGAACAUAAAAAUAAGAAUCUGAUAUAAAUUAAGUUUUUCCAAGUUUAAGACUUUUAUAUUUGUCAUCGCAUUGGAAGGAUUGUCCAUUCUACCUAGAUAAUGAAUUGCUUUACAAGCAUGGUUUUGCAAGCCUUGUAGUUUGAUUAAUUUUGUUUUGUGUGUAUUAGCCCACACUAUAUUAGCAUAUGUGAGAUGACUGUGAAUUAGACUAAAGUAAAGUUUUUUUCUUGAACAGAAAUCAAGAAACUGGCGACAUUUUUAUAAAAUACCUAUUGCAGAUGAUAUUUUUGUUUCAAUGUGUCCAAUGUGAUUUCUCCAUGAUAAAUUUUCAUCAAUAUGAACACCAAGAAACUUUGCAUAUUUUUCCCGUUUUAUUGUUAUGUUGUUAAUGAGCAUUUUUGGAAUUUUUAACGGUAGAGACAUUGAUUGACCUGUUUUAUGAAAUAAGAUGUAGUUGGUUUUUCACAGUUUAAGGAUAGUUUAAUUGCUCCAAGCCAUAAAUUAAAGUUUUCCAGUUCAGUAUUCAUUGUUUCGAACAUCGAUUUUAAAUUACUAUGAUUAUAAAAUAAAGUUGUGUCAUCAGCAUACAUUAUUGAAGAUACUAUAGAUGAUGCUUUAUGGAUAUCAUUGAUGUAAAUUAAAAACAAUAACGGUCCUAAGAUUGAGCCUUGAGGAACCCCACACUCAAUAUCAAGAACACUUGAGUCUUUGUUUAUUACAAACUGCUUUCUGUUACUCAGUUAACUUUUUACCCAUUAAUACAUUAGUCUUUUGAUACCAUAAUAUUUUAACUUUGAUAGUAAGAUGCUGUGGUCAACUGUAUCAAAUGCCUUUGUAAGUUCUAUAAAUACUCUUAAUACAUGAUCCCCUUUAUCAAAAAAUUAAAAUAUUUUAUUAGUAAGUUCAAUGAUAGCAUGUUCUGUUGAGCAUCUUUUUUGAAAACCAAAUUUAUUUUCAUAUAAAAGUUUGUUAAACUUCAAGUAGUUAAAAUUCGAUUGUAUAUUACUUUUUCAUAAACUUUAGAGAACACUGGUAAGAGAGAUAUUGGACGGUAGUUAGACAUAUUAUUACAAUCUCCAUUUUUAUAAACAGGAUUGACUUUAGCAAUUUUUAACAUAUCAGGAAAAGUACUGUGUUCAAAAGAAGACGAUAUUAGACGAAAUAAGGGUUUUCUAAUACAUUCAAUGAUGUGUAUUGCUACAUUACUAGUAAUGUCAUCAUAUCCGCAUGACUUAUUUUGCUUUAGUUCAGUCAGAGCUUUGUUAAACUCUUUAUAGGAUAUUUUUUCAUUUGAUAUACACGAUAGGGUUUUUUUUCCAAUAAAUUCAUCAAUUUUCUUAUUUGGCAUCACUAUUUUUGAAGCUAGACUGGGACCAAGAUUUACAAAGUGUUUGUUAAAUUCAUGGUAAAUAUCUGAUUUAUUUGUAAUAUAUUUAUCACAAAAUCUUAUUUUGAGGUAUGCUAAAGGAUUUCUUUUUUUCUCUGCCAUUUACUUCAUUUAUAAUCGACCAUGUUUUUUUUAUGUCUAAUUUAUUUUUAUUUAGCAGAUUAGAAUAAUACAUUAUUUUUAGUUUUCAACUUUUUAUGUUUAUUAAAUUUUGGGCCCCCCAAAUGUUGGGGCCCUAGGCCAUGGCCUAGUCGGCCUAUAGGUAAAUCCGGCCCUGCAUGAUUUAAACGGAAUAAAUGACCCACAAACAAAACGAAAUUAUGGUGGAGGAAGUUUAAUGGUUUGGGGGGGGGGAUUUUUUUAUUCAGUUUUUGAUUAUUAUAUUGUUUUCAAUUGUUAUAUUUUGGAAUUUUUCAUAGAGCAAAUAAAGUUGUUGACCAAAACAGUGGUGUCUCCAAUGCCCUUGUCUCAAAUGCAGAUAAAUGAAAGCUACUCGAAAGGAACAAUGAAUAAAACAAUGGUCACUUUAUUGAUAGAGGUGAAAACAUUCAUUAAAGAUUUACAGCGUCAACCUGAACUCAACACCCGGCUUCUUCAAACACUGCUGGAUUAUAAAAACAAUUAUGAUGACAGUAUGAUUGAGGAAUACAAUCUUCUUGGUAACAUGAAAAAUUUAGAUGUGUUUGAUAGUUUGUUACAGCGAGACAAGUCGAUUUUCAACAAAUUGCGAUUAUUCUUGCUAGCAAAGGUGGCCAGUCACUGAGAGAAAUUGUAAAAAGGGCCAUUAACUUAUUAUUAACAAAGAUCUACAACGAAAGUUUAACUGGAGUGGUAGUUGGGCCGGCUGGAGUUGAAAAAAACAUUUUAUCUAAAAAGGCUUUUUGCAAACUUAGUUGUUUUUAGCGCUGCAGAGAAAAAUCAGUAAACAUUUACCAACAAGAUCAGUAACCGAAAGCGAGUUUCAAGUUGAAGUCGUGCGUUUUUAACGAGGAGCUGCAGGCAGGAAUGGGGGGGGGGGGGGAGAAAAAUUAAAGGCGUAAAUAGGAAUACGCUUGAAAGAGAUUCUUCUUCAAGUUAAAAAUAUAAUUCUCAAGUAAUGAGAAGUUUAAAUAAGAAUUACAUGUAUCUAAUUAUAUUUUUGAUAUCUAAUAGUUUAUGAA
Hydra vulgaris (swiftwater hydra) is the source of this 4264-nucleotide non-coding RNA. The record is from RefSeq and is a predicted model, not a curated record. NCBI's taxonomy places the organism in Eukaryota, Metazoa, Cnidaria, Hydrozoa, Anthoathecata, Hydridae.